This 76-nucleotide transfer RNA is filed under the name Actinomycetes bacterium. RNAcentral's name for it is "Actinobacteria bacterium tRNA-Asn". It matches the Rfam family "tRNA". Rfam says of the family: Transfer RNA (tRNA) molecules are approximately 80 nucleotides in length. Their secondary structure includes four short double-helical elements and three loops (D, anti-codon, and T loops). Lineage: Bacteria; Bacillati; Actinomycetota; Actinomycetes. The record is from RNAcentral.
UCCGGGGUGGCGCAAUCGGCAGCGCGGCGGACUGUUAAUCCGUAGGUUGUGGGUUCGAGUCCCACCCCCGGAGCCC